Molecule: long non-coding RNA, 3110 nt
Organism: Hypanus sabinus (Atlantic stingray)
Lineage: Eukaryota; Metazoa; Chordata; Chondrichthyes; Myliobatiformes; Dasyatidae
Exons: 4
Source: RefSeq, a predicted model, not a curated record
UAAGGAUUAUGAGAAAGGCUAACAGUUUUCAUAAUAAAAUGGUAUGAAAGACUGAAUACGGACUUGGAUUACCAGUAAACAUUCCCAGAAUUUAAAAGUUAAAAAAAAACAUUUUUUUCUGGCUAAAUAGGGAUACAAUGAUAUAAAACAUUAUAUUUUCACUGCCAGAAAUUGGUGCUGUUUAUGACCUACCAAGCCUUUAGAAAUUCAUACAGCAAAUUCACAAACUUAGUUGUACUGUAUUGAUUGAGUAGAUGCCACAGGUAAUGGCAUUGUGUGGAGUAAAGUUGAGACUAUUUGCAAAGUAAUAGUAGAGUUUAGCUUUCAGCACAGCAGAAUGACAUGCAUUGUGGAUCUGUGUUUAAUUGGAAUGUCUCUACUCCAGAAAUUCUGGAAAGGACAGGCAUAUCUGAACAGUCCUCAAACAUAGCAACAACACAAAUUUUAUUAAAGAUGAAGGUGGAGACAAAGUAACAAUUUUAAAAAAUAUAUUGCAACCAUCUUAACCAGCUAUUAUUGUUGUAUUAUAAGAUGAUCCCAAUCCCUUCUAAAAUACUCAUAUUGGAGAUCCUUCUCAAAUGUGACUUCUCAAUCUACUCUACAAUGACAUAAAAGCUUGAUCAUCACACAUCCAAGGCCACCUUCUCACUGGACACAGGUUAAACAAGGCUUUGUCGAAGCACUUAUUUUCUUUUCAACUUUUCUUGCUGCAAUACCUCCUCUUGCCUCUGAUACUCACUUUUGCAGUAGAGAUAAUAUACAGGACAACCAAGAAACUGUUCAACCUUUCUUGUAUCCAUUCUAGAACCAAAAUGCUUGCACAAAUGGAAGAGGUAGAGAGAGAGCCAAACCAUGGUUGAUUCUUUAAACAAAACACAAGGGUGGGCUUUCUACUAAAUGUCCAGCAGACAUUCAAUAACCGACGAGUUUUUCCUUCAGUGUUUUCAAUUUUUGCUUUAGAAGGCAAAGAUCCAAAAUCAACUUGACCCCACUGCACCACACCAAACCACUGAUAACAAAGAUAACUUUCUUUAUGUCAGAAGCUAAUUUUCAGCAACAGCAGACAUUGAGAAUCAAAUUCAUUGCCUCAUCUGUACCCACAGAUCCUUCAGCCACAAGGAAGAAUGUCUGAAGACUAGUUGGCUCCAAAUAAAUUUCAUUACAGAUUGGAUGUAUAGACAACAUACUACAGGCACUUUCAACUACAGAAGAACCAAUACUGUCUCUGAAAAAUCCUCCAACUCCAUUGGCAGUCUGGUUGAAACCUCUAACAAGCUAAUAUCCCCAACAUCAAAGGUCAGAUCAUACUCAGCAGCUGCAAUGACUCUGCAUGCAUCGGAUACCAGCACCUGAAACAAGCAGUUUUCAUCCAGUUCCAUCAAAGCAAUCAACUUCUGUAAGAGAACACAGAUGCACCAUACUCAGCCAUCUGCCCUAACAUUGUGUGGAUUAAAAUCAUAUUUUGUUUGAUGACCUUCCUGUAACAAGUCUAAGACCUAAAUAUCCAUGAGGUCAGCAAAAUCUAUGGAGAAAUCGUAGUUAAUGCUUUCAUCAGACCUGUUGCGUCAUCCAAAUCAUUCCAUAAGACCAACAAGUGUUAUUAGCUUCUUGGUUGUUCUCUACAAAAUCUUGAGCUGAAUGGCCUGAUGAAACUCACAUAAGCUAACACCAAAGUGGGGAUGUAUGUAAAAAAACACAACUCCAGGCAGUGAAAGAAACAAGGUGUAUAGCCUGACAUCUUUACAAUGCUCUAUUACCUCUGGGAUCUGCUUCAGCCAUAUAGAUCAGCGUUGUAUGCAACACACACACACACACACACCCCGGAGGAAAUCAGCAGGUCCGGCAGCAUCGAUGGAGGGGUAAAAAUAGUCUUAUGUUUUGGGCAGAGGCCCUUCAUCAUGAUUGGAAAGGAAGAGCACAGAAGCCAGAAAUAAAAAAAAGUAGAGAAAGCAGCUCAACUUGGAAGGUAUUAGGCAAAUCCAGAUCCUGCCUGACCUGCUGAGUUCCUCCAGCAUUUUGUUUCACUGAAAGCAGGAAAAUUCAUUUAAAGGAAAUAGCCUGGAAACAAGCGGAAGUUCCAAGCCAUGACUCUAAUCAUUACAUCUUCAUCAACAGAAAUGUUUUAGAUAUGAAAUCACUCUCUUUAUUUUCAUAGCAGUUGGUUAGAUGAUGAAAUUUUUAAUUCUAUCAAACAAUUCUUCUCAAAACAUCUUUGAUCAUACCUUCAAUUACUCUAUUAAUUUCCCAAUUUCAUGAAUGGUACUUAAUUAUUGGCUUUUAAAACAUCUCUACAAUUGAUUGCUGGUAGAAGUUCACUAUGUCUAGUGGAAUAAAGAAUCUUGUUCCCCUGCUACUGUAAAGGAAGGAAUGCACUUGUGUCAAAUUCAAUUGGCUAAAUGUCACCUUAACUAAUGGUUUCCACUGUUAACUUAAAAACAAGAUAUUAUAAAUAGUUCAAUUUUGUUCAGCGCAUAUCAGAAGCACUGUACAAUUAAAAGGGCUUAAUGUAUGAUAAUAGAUAAGAAACUCAAAAUCUAAGUUCCAGUGCUUGAGAGCAACUUUCAAGUCAACAGUGAAUUGCUAUACACAAUCCAAGUGUGCUUUCUGAAAGACUUUGAUGAUACGAUGUGCUUUUUUUAAAAAAAAGUAUUUCGAUAUCAGAACUUUAAAAAGCAAUUGUAUCAUUUGUGUUUCUAUUAUAUUAGUAACCAGGAUUACAGGUAGGAUUUUCAGUCAUGUACAAUAUCCAAAGCCCAUGAAUUUACAUUUAAAUUAGACCUCACAACCCAUGAAUAGAAGCAUUGUUAACUAGUCUGAAUACAUAUACUCUGGGUGUAUUAUAUACACACAGACUAUGUAGCAUAACCACAGAAUACAAGCACCAAGUAUCAGAUCCAAACAGAUAAAAUUCAUGCUGCAGGAUUGUUUUUGCCAGAGCAAAUCUAAACCAGGGCAUACAAACUACUUUAGAAGCUUUUGAGGAACUUGAGUUAAUCUAAUCAGUGCUUGAGCAUUGGAAAUAGUAUUGUUUAAGUAAAUCACAUUAACAUCUCUCUAACUCUGAAGAGUUUUGUUCUGUUAUGUAUUGGAGAUAAGGUACAGGAGUUCAU